UUAUCUUUGGCGCGGGAAACUCUCUCCCCAGCAGAACUGAGAAGUGAUGCAACAUUGCUGUGUGUUCGCUUUUAAGCUACUUUGAAGACACUUGUUUCAAAUUCAAGCUGAGAGUAUCAGGGCUUCAAAACGCUGAAAUUCCUCAACUGGAAGCCUAUUUGCUAGCAAGCGCAGUUCUAAUCUUGUAGUCAAGGUAAGUUAUUCUAUUCAUUUGCUCAUUUUCAUUGAAGAGAUGACUACUUUUAUUAAAACUGCCUAAAUAUGUAUAAAAUGGAAUUUUUAAAAUUUCAGGCCAAUUUUUUGUUAACAAGGCUAUACUUCUCAUAUUAUACUUGGCUUCUGUGAGUUUACAUUUAGCCUUCUGCAAUAAAUUUUUAGUCGUUUUACAAGAAAGCUUUUAACAUGUCAUGAAGCACAAGCUCAAAAGGUACUCCAUCAUCACUAUUCUUUCGAGCACAUCCAUUGUUCACUGUGAACUGACAAGAAAUAAAUUUGUCAAGUAAAAUUUAUCAUGGCUGAAUUUUGUGAAAUCAGUUUAUUUUACAUUUUCAUUUGAUGUAACUUUUUGCAAACUGCAAUUGAAUCUACUGAAGCUCAGAAGUUCCAAGAUUGUCUGGACCAAAUCCAAGUGUCAUAGCAAGAGCAACACUGGAAAUGCCUUCGAUUUCAGUAUAUUUCCUCUUUCCUUCUCAGGGCAGCUGAAGGGGGGGGGGGGCAAUAUGUCCAAGAUUAUCGAGUUUUAGGGAGCCUCAUAAUAGAAUGAUUUCCAUUUUAUGAACAUAGUUAAUAAAAAGCAACAAAUGUAUGCCUAAAGGAAAGUAAGAUGUUUUUAACGAUUGCAAGAAUUAUAUUUCAGCAAGAAAUAUUCGUAGCUGUAUUAGAAGCUAACCAUAAGCUGAGAUAAGCUAAUCAUAAGGGUAUGGUUGCACAAUUUUUGCUUGCUAAGCUCGCGGGGCUCUUGUCUUUCGCCUUUACCUCAGGGCCUUCGAUACCUUUCAGCGGCCCUGGUCUUACUUAACUUAUAUCACCUUUUAAUCGCAGGCUCUGCAUGUUUCUGAAUAAUUUUUCAUUAUUUAAGGAAAAGAAAAGUGGACAAGUUUCGAGAGGGAAACGAAUCGGCGUAUUUUCACUUGCUAUUGCGUCUUUACAGGAAAUAAACUUCGGAAAUGUUUAUUUUGCUUUAAGGGAACUUGUCCUAAUUGCGUUAAAUAAAAUACCUUCUAGAGAAUUUUCUAAUUUUUUUAAAUUCAUUUUGUUUAUGUCACCUAAACGCCAUGGAAUUGAACUUCACGAAAAUGUACAGAAGAGAACAAGAUUGCUAUUAGCAGGACAGAAGACAAAAAGGUUACAACGCAAGAAUUUGGUAUAAAACAUCUGGCAAUGCCUUCACAUUGGUUCUUCAAAAAACAAGGGAAGUCCUACGCUCAGUGACUAAUUAUUGUCUUCACUGAUGAUCACCAGUGUUCACGAUCAGUUGAUUUGCGUUUACUUGUUUGCUGGUCAUCGAUACUAAAGCGAAGCGAAGUGGCAGAUAACUUACGGUCUGCUCAUUCGGCUCACUGGUUUGCCCGUUGAAGAAGCAGACGUGGCAUCGAACUCAUUUCUGAAAUGCCGUUGUGGCGAAUUCUUCACCAAUGUUUUGAUGCAAAAGAAUGCCGAACCUGCAGCUACCUGGAUUCUGCGGUUUGAAGUCGCAUGACUUCCAUGGACUGCAUUUCUUGAUGCAAUGAAUAAAUCCCACUUCCUUUAGCAUUAUCUUCAAUGCUUUUAAUUUUAUUGUGAAAAUCCAUCCACCUUAUACAUGAAUUACAUUUGCAGCCAUCUGUCAACUCUUAAACUAUUUAUUAAUUUCUGAAUUUUUUCUUAAAUGAUAAUUUAAAUAUUAAAUCAUAUUGAUGUUAAGAUAGUUAAAUCUUUGCAUAUACUUUUAUGCAGCGUCCAAAUUAAUGACCUUCUCAGCGUCUUUACGAAUUCAACAAAACAAACAACUUUGCCUCCUUUCAUUGUAAUGACGUCUCUUUAUGUAAGUUCCUCAUUGUUAGGCCAAUUGGUACUUGGACCUCUUUUUACACUAUUUUCCGUAAUUUGAUGUUUUACACUAUUUCAAAGCUUUCCAUCCUAAUAUUUGUGUAUCAUUUUAAACAUCCACAAAGUCUUUUUGCCGCUAUCUUUGAAAGGGUGCAAUGAAUAUAUCUUAAUUUCACUUAGACUAGACAGCUUGCAGAACCAACUGAAACAAAUAAGAACAACUCCAAGAUCUAAAUCUUAGCGUUUUGUAGAUUAUCCUAAAGACGGCUCAUUUUCCUUAACUUUUCCACCUUCGGUGCCUAAAAGUACAGAUUCA
Non-coding RNA from Rhopilema esculentum, 2344 nucleotides. Lineage: Eukaryota; Metazoa; Cnidaria; Scyphozoa; Rhizostomeae; Rhizostomatidae. The record is from RefSeq and is a predicted model, not a curated record.